Molecule: ribosomal RNA, 271 nt
Filed under: uncultured archaeon
Lineage: Archaea
Description: partial 16S ribosomal RNA
Rfam family: Archaeal small subunit ribosomal RNA
Source: RNAcentral
CAGCGCCACGAGUGGUAACCACGUUUAUUGGGCCUAAAGCGUCCGUAGCCGGUUUGAUAAAUCUUUUGUGAAAUUGUACAGCUUAACUGUACAGCGUGCAAGAGACACUGUCAAACUUGAGACCGGGAGGAGUCAGAAGUAUUCCAGAGGGAGCGGUAAAAUGUUAUAAUCUCUGGAGGACUACUUGUGGCGAAGGCGUCUGACCAGAACGGAUCUGACGGUGAGGGACGAAAGCUAGGGGAGCGAACCGGAUUAGAUACCCGAGUAGUCC